CGUGAGGAACCUGCCUUGGAGAGGGGAAUAACACUCCGAAAGGGGUGCUAAUACCGCAUAAUGCAGUUGGGUCGCAUGGCUCUGACUGUCAAAGAUUUAUCGCUCUGAGAUGGCCUCGCGUCUGAUUAGCUAGUUGGUGAGGUAAUGGCCCACCAAGGCGACGAUCGGUAGCCGGACUGAGAGGUUGAACGGCCACAUUGGGACUGAGACACGGCCCAG
This 219-nucleotide ribosomal RNA is filed under the name uncultured bacterium. Its description in RNAcentral is "partial 16S ribosomal RNA". It matches the Rfam family "Bacterial small subunit ribosomal RNA", at positions 116 to 334 of the family's 1533-position model. The record is from RNAcentral.